Molecule: transfer RNA, 84 nt
Filed under: Chitinophagales bacterium
Lineage: Bacteria; Pseudomonadati; Bacteroidota; Chitinophagia; Chitinophagales
Description: tRNA-Leu
Rfam family: tRNA
About the family: Transfer RNA (tRNA) molecules are approximately 80 nucleotides in length. Their secondary structure includes four short double-helical elements and three loops (D, anti-codon, and T loops). Further hydrogen bonds mediate the characteristic L-shaped molecular structure. tRNAs have two regions of fundamental functional importance: the anti-codon, which is responsible for specific mRNA codon recognition, and the 3' end, to which the tRNAs corresponding amino acid is attached (by aminoacyl-tRNA synthetases). tRNAs cope with the degeneracy of the genetic code in two manners: having more than one tRNA (with a specific anti-codon) for a particular amino acid; and 'wobble' base-pairing, i.e. permitting non-standard base-pairing at the 3rd anti-codon position.
Source: RNAcentral
GCCCAAAUGUUGAAAUUGGUAGACAAGCUACUUUGAGGUGGUAGUGACCGUAAGGUUGUGCAGGUUCGAGUCCUGUUUUGGGCA